UUUGUCAGCUCUGAUUAAGUGGCUCAUGAACACUGAUCAUCUCAAUAUGGCAGCAUCAGAAUCUGCAUGCGGCACACAGCAGCCCAGUCAGCUGAAGGGCUAAUUAAAGCUGAACGGAGCGCUGUGCUCAUGAUAACUCAAGAGCAGACACUUAUCGAUUUGGCCCUGCUUCUCAGAGCCUGUUUUCCUGCGCUCUCGAUCUCUGAGGGAUUUCCCGUCACACUGCCAGAGCGUUUGCAUGCUGCACAGACCGCUGGGAUCCGCUUACUCUCCACGCGGCUCACGGGCCGAGCAUCGCAACCGGACCAGCGCACGCAGCCGCUGAGCAUCAUGGGAACGCUGGGAGCUUAAAGAUGAGUCAGCAUGCUGACAGAAGAGUCACAAUGCACACAUUCAUGCCAUCAAAAAAGUCUGGAGUGCAACAGAAUAAAAGCGAACAGCAGUUUUAAAAACUUUAAAACGUUACACAGCAUCGUAUAAAAGCAACGCUUGAGGUGUACGAUUCUACACCAGAGCACAUACAGACGUCACGCACCGGAUGCCGUGCACGCGCUCAGGGCAGUUGGAUAUAGUGGUGUAUCAGAGAUUGUGUGCCCAUUGACUGGCAUUAUAUGACUGACAGACUGCAACGGUUUGAGUUAAAAAUCUUCGUUUGUGUUCUACUGAAGAAACAGUCACCUACAUCUUGGAUGUCCUGGGGUGUACCUGGAAAUCAGAUGUAAUUGAAACGGACCCAGGUGGGAAGGAUCGCCAAAAUAAACCUACUGAGAGUCCGAUAAACAACGCAGAGAAAGAGGAAAUUUACUUCCGUUUUGUUCUUCUUGAGGCAUGAAAUCAGGAACUGGGAACUUUCAGAGGAGCAGAGGCGUUUGCACAGACUUUUUAAAAGCUGAAGUGUGUAAUUUCUGCUCAUCACCACAUGCAACUGCCAAAAUAGUGACCGAUUUUCUCAAACAUUCUCCAUAUCGGUGAUUUUGUUAGUCAAACAGAUAGUCCCGCCCCCAAACUCACCCCAUUGGUUGAGUCGAUGUUGCGAUACUCAAACAGAUCAGUGUUUUGAAAGCAUCAGUGUCUCAGUUUUUCAUUCAAGAAGCCAAACUCUUUUACUUAUAGUGAACAUUAAGAAAUAAGGUUUUAUUUUUCAAAAUAGAGAAGAAAUUAUACAUUUCAGCUCACAGCUGGAUUCUCAUGCACAGUCAGUAAAUACAAUAUCCUACAUAUGCUGAUUGGUUCGUGAUCUGAGGCUAAAGCUGAAUAUCAUCUCGGCAGCAUCAGGUGUCUUUAUUAAAGCUUUAAAUCGCACAUCUUCUGUGAAUGAGAUCCAUGUCUGUGGCAGCACACGGUCUCGCACUCUUCGUGUGCACGUGACUGACGUAAUCGGGCUAAAAUUAAAUCGCUGAGACAAUGACGAGCGCACAGGCAGCAGAACGCUGGCUAGACACAGACAACAAUACCGCAGGGUUAGGCCUGCAAUUUCCUGAUCAUGUAUGAGAGCUGAUCUGAUCUGCUCAAAAACACAAACCAGGUGACGAGGAUGCAAGACUACUGCUUUCCAUCUUUGCAAUUUAUCUUAAAAUGACAAAUAAAAUCAAUUUUAAUAGAAAAGUAAUAAUUGACACAUUUCACAUUUAAUAUACAGCGCGCACAGACUGAAAUCUGACUCACCAAUUUUCUCAUCAUAAACAGUGCGAUGCAGCUAUAUUAAUCACAGAAUGUAGACAGCUUCACUUAUUAUAACGGGAGUGUUUUUAAACUCGGGCUGGACUGAGUGAUGAUGUUCUUUGGUAAUGUAAACGUUCUUUGCUUGUUUUCUGUAGCUCCUCUUUGAAUAACCGAGGAAAUGUAAGCAUUAUAAUUAGUAACUUACAAUGUUUCCAUUGAAUUGUUAGGUUAAAUACAAAUUCAGUCAGAUUAAAAACAUUAGGGCGGUUUUUAGCCUUACGCUGGAGUUGGUUCACUUUCCGGCAAUGAAACCAAGUAAAUAGAUAAUUAAAUAAAUUAGAAAUUUUUGUCAUCUUUAAAUUUAUGAAAAGUUUAAUUAAUUUAAUUAGACACCCUUUUAAUAAAUCAAAACUGAAUUAAACCAUGCAUUCAGAAAAAUUAAGUGAAAACACAAAAUUUGGGAAAAGAAAUGGAAUGAAAAAUAAAAUGGAUUUUAUGUGGACCAAAUAAAGUGAAUUGACAGCUGCUGACGACAGUACGCAUGUUAUAUUUUGACAAAAACACAAAUCAACAAUUCACAGUGAGGAAGGUGUUUUCACACAAACACGUGCAGGUUUUCUGAAAGGGUUUAAUCUGGAUUGUGUUCUAUAAUCCCUCUGGAAACUGGAUUGCAGCACAGAAACCGCUCGUCUGCAAUACCGUGUGAUCGAAUGGUUAAUUCUGAGUUUAGAGACAUUAUACACUUUCAUGUGCAGAGAAAAAUCAACAUGUGGUGAAGUGUGAAUUUCACACACAGAAAGACGUGUAUGCAUCGGCGGCACGUCUGAAGGUUAGUCCUAUUGAUGGAGAGGCGGAUUUAAGCGAGGGUCCUGAGGAGACAUUUAUAAUUCAUAAAGCUGUCAGUGCUGCAGAGCAGAUGGACGGAGAAUAAAACGGGUGUUUAGUAUAAAAAAAAUAAAUAAGGUCAGCGCUGUCCUACUAUAAACGAUCGUAAACAUGCUACAAUUUGACAAGGUGACAACGUCAGCUCAUAGGGUCAGAUAAAGGCAAGGAAGGUGUUAGACUGACACACACACACGUGAAGGUUUCACACACUCAGAUCAACACAGAACAUCUAUAUCUAUAUCCAGUGUCCUAACUAUACACAAUGACAAGGCCGAAAAAAAGAUACGUUACAGUAGCAUUCAAAAUUUGGGAGUUGGUGAGAUUUUUAAAAAUGUUUUUGAAGUCUCUUCUGCUCACCAAGGCUGCAUUUAUUUUAUCAAAAACACUGUAAAAAUUGUGAAAUAUUGCAAUUUAAAAUAUCUGUUUUCUAUGUGAAUGUGUUAAACUGUAAUUUAUUUCUGUGAUGCGCAGCUGUAUUUUCAGCAUCAUUACUGCAGUCUUAAGUGUCACAUGAUCUUCAGAAAUCAUUCUAAUAUGCUGAUUUACUGCUCAAGAAACAUUUCUGAUUAUUAUCAAUGUUGAAAACGUGAUAUCUGUUCUUUUGAAGUUUCUGUAAAUCAAAGAAUC
Molecule: long non-coding RNA, 3174 nt
Organism: Onychostoma macrolepis
Lineage: Eukaryota; Metazoa; Chordata; Actinopteri; Cypriniformes; Cyprinidae
Exons: 3
Source: RefSeq, a predicted model, not a curated record